AAGCUGAAUGAUUCGCUCGUCUGGUGUGCAUUCGAAUCUUUCGAGCGAUUCGAGAGAAAAGAGUCGAUUCAAACGAUGCGAGUGUGAAGCGUUUUUUGAAAUCGCAUCGGUUACAGAAUCACUGAAUCUUCAGAUGCUGAUCAGCAGAAAUGAGUGAAAUCAUCGAUCACAGACUGAGAAGAACAAAAGCAACGCGAAGAGAAACACCACAGGAUGAUCAGAGAGAUUCGGCGUUUACCCAGAGUCCUCCAGUGAUCCGGGUGCUGACAUCUGGACAGCAGCAGUUCAGACAACCGCCCGAUGACCACUAACCCGGUUAACAGCGUGAGACUGGACACUCCUGAAGAUCACAGACAGCGAGCUGGGAAAACAGACAGAAUUACGUUUUCUUUUGCUGAUGAUUCAAGUGGGCUGAGUUUGAUUUCACAGAAGCUUCUGCACCUGCACAGAAAAACGCUAAUGGCCAUGAUUCAUCUGAUCUCAAAACGGACAUCCAAACCAAUGAGAAACCGAUUUAAAAAUCCCUGAAGAUCACUGGAACCAACAUGGAAGAACUCAAAUGAACAACGUCUGGAUGAGAAGUCUGACACUACAUCACCGGCCUCUGAAGCAUCUUUAGUUUCACAGCUGAAGAUCUUUAAUGAAGAACUCAAACACUGUGAAGACACCACUGUCAUUAAGUUUCACAGGAACCAGUUCAGAUCAAGAAUCAUUCGUCCAUGACCUCCAGAAACACACAGUCUAAUGCAGACGCUCUUCAGAAACCACACACUGAAUGAAGUCAUGAUGCAGAGAGCAUUAUGCUCUUUUACCUUUCCAUAAGAGAAUCAGGAGCCAACACACAAACCCUGGUGCAGAUUUACGCUGACACACGGUAAAAAAGAAUUUUUCUCUUGAUGUCCAUUUCUAGUCUGUUCCUUCUGUAGUCUUCAGACUGUCAGAUGCUGGUGGAUCCAAUCAGUAAACAUGAAGAUGAGAAGCAUCACAAGGGCUGAAUGAUGGACAUCAGGACCAAAUUAUAUAUGCUUUAUA
This is a long non-coding RNA of Cyprinus carpio carpio, 1032 nucleotides long. The record is from Ensembl. Lineage: Eukaryota; Metazoa; Chordata; Actinopteri; Cypriniformes; Cyprinidae.